GAUGAACGCUAGCGGCAGGCCUAAUACAUGCAAGUCGGACGGGAUUCAGGAGCUUGCUUCUGAUGAGAGUGGCGCACGGGUGCGUAACACGUAUGUAACCUACCUUUAUCAGGGGGAUAGCCUCUCGAAAGAGAGAUUAAGCCCGCAUAAAAUCACAGCACAGCAUUGUGUAAUGAUCAAAUAUUUAUAGGAUAAAGAUGGGCAUGCGGAACAUUAGCUAGAUGGCGGGGUAACGGCCCACCAUGGCGACGAUGUUUAGGGGAUCUGAGAGGAUGGCCCCCAAACCUGGUACUGAGACACGGACCAAACCCCUACGGGAGGCAGCAGUAAGGAAAAUUGGUCAAGGGGCGGAAGCCUAAACCAGCCAUGCCGGGGGAAGGAAGCCGGCCCUACGGGUUGUAAACUGCUUUUAUACGGGAAUAAACCCAGAUACGUGUAUUUGGCUGAAUGUACUUUAAGAAUAAGGAUCGGCUAACCCCGU
RNAcentral lists this ribosomal RNA (481 nucleotides) under uncultured bacterium. RNAcentral describes it as "partial 16S ribosomal RNA". It matches the Rfam family "Bacterial small subunit ribosomal RNA", at positions 28 to 506 of the family's 1533-position model. The record is from RNAcentral.